Molecule: ribosomal RNA, 313 nt
Filed under: uncultured eukaryote
Lineage: Eukaryota
Description: partial 18S ribosomal RNA
Rfam family: Eukaryotic small subunit ribosomal RNA
Source: RNAcentral
CCCUUAGAUGUCCUGGGCCGCACGCGCGUUACACUGAUGCAUUCAACGAGCUUAUAACCUUGGCCGAGAGGCCUGGGCAAUCUUGUUAACGUGCAUCGUGAUAGGGAUAGAUUAUUGAAAUUAUUAAUCUUGAACGAGGAAUUCCUAGUAAACGCAGAUCAUCAAUCUGCAUUGAUUACGUCCCUGCCCUUUGUACACACCGCCCGUCGCUCCUACCGAUUUUGAGUGGUCCGGUGAACCUUCUGGAUUGUGCGGCUUGCCGCGCGAGAAGUUAUGUAAACCUUAUCACUUAGAGGAAGGAGAAGUCGUAACA